Long non-coding RNA from Ctenopharyngodon idella (grass carp), 715 nucleotides. RefSeq lists it as uncharacterized. The transcript is spliced from 3 exons. Lineage: Eukaryota; Metazoa; Chordata; Actinopteri; Cypriniformes; Xenocyprididae. The record is from RefSeq and is a predicted model, not a curated record.
ACAGCACCAUCUCUCUAGCUGUAUCUUUCUGGGGAUUUGUUAUUGCUGGCUGUUUUCUCAUUAACAUGCAAGUACGCGAUCCCUCUCUGUGAAGAAGUGUUUACUGGAGCACUUCAUUGAUUCACUAGCCUUUGGUGCUCCAAAUGUUCCUUCUCGUGGGGUUUAUUUGGCCGAGUAGCAGUCCAAAGCUCAUGCGUCAUUAAAAAUAAAUGGCGAAAAAUGGUAGUGGAGCACGCACUGGAUCGUGAGAUAAAUGAGAACGGUCUCUUCUUGGGCUGGUGAUUACGCGGAGACUGAAUUAAACAAAUCUUAUGUCAACUUAAACGGCAAAUUUAAGUCAAUUUACCACAACUGCCAGAACUGUGGUCAUUCUUAGUUUGUCAACGUGAAUGGAAGAGACAGGUUUUUUAAUCGGGUGCACGAGACAGUUUUCUCACUCGAGCACAAAAACGUUGAACUGACUGGAGAAUCAGCGCGCGCAGGAAGUCUGACAGAACGCUUUCUGAGCACUUUGAAACUUGCCUGACAAAAACAACGGCAUUAUGUUGAACUAGGAUGUUCCGAAAACGUCACAAGGGUUUUUUACAACGUUGUUGCGGAGAAGGCUCGCAGAAUACGUAAUGAAUUCAGGUUACGUCAGAGAUCUGUGGGAAGUCAUCUUUCCAAACCAACACCUUUUUCCACACCAAUUCAGUGAACGCUACUGGGCUGCGAU